RNAcentral lists this RNase P RNA (350 nucleotides) under Ruminococcus sp. RNAcentral describes it as "RNase P RNA component class A". It matches the Rfam family "Bacterial RNase P class A". Rfam says of the family: Ribonuclease P (RNase P) is a ubiquitous endoribonuclease, found in archaea, bacteria and eukarya as well as chloroplasts and mitochondria. Its best characterised activity is the generation of mature 5'-ends of tRNAs by cleaving the 5'-leader elements of precursor-tRNAs. Cellular RNase Ps are ribonucleoproteins. The record is from RNAcentral. Lineage: Bacteria; Bacillati; Bacillota; Clostridia; Eubacteriales; Oscillospiraceae. RNAcentral also lists the same sequence under 4 other names.
CAGCCAGGCCAGGUGAUCGCGGCUGGACAGACGAAAGGGUCCAGACGAGGAAAGUCCGGGCUUCACAGGGCAGGAUGCCGGAUAACGUCCGGUGGAGGUAACUCCCAGACCAGUGCAACAGAAAUAAACCGCCUCCUUUGCGGGGUAAGGGUGGAAAGGCAGUGUAAGAGACUACCGCCGCUGUGGUAACAGAGCGGGCACAUGUAAACUCCAUUCGAAGCAAGACCGAGAAGAAAGCCAUACGGCGGCCCGUCGUGCUUUCAGGUAGGUCGCUGGAGCCUUCUGGCAACGGAAGGCCUAGAUAGAUGAUCACUCAACGACAUAACCCGGCUUAUCGGUCUGACUGUGUA